Molecule: ribosomal RNA, 274 nt
Filed under: uncultured bacterium
Lineage: Bacteria
Description: partial 16S ribosomal RNA
Rfam family: Bacterial small subunit ribosomal RNA
Source: RNAcentral
AUACAGAGGGUGCGAGCGUUAAUCGGAAUUACUGGGCGUAAAGCGCGCGUAGGCGGCUGAUUAAGUCAGAUGUGAAAUCCCAGGGCUCAACCUUGGAACUGCAUCUGAUACUGGUCAACUAGAGUUUAGGAGAGGGAAGUAGAAUUUCAGGUGUAGCGGUGAAAUGCAUAGAUAUCUGAAGGAAUACCAGUGGCGAAGGCGGCUUCCUGGCCUAAAACUGACGCUGAGGUGCGAAAGCGUGGGUAGCAAACGGGAUUAGAAACCCCAGUAGUCC